AUUGAAUGCUGGCGGCAUGCCUUACACAUGCAAGUCGAACGGCAGCACGGGUGCUUGCACCUGGUGGCGAGUGGCGAACGGGUGAGUAAUACAUCGGAACGUACCUUAUCGUGGGGGAUAACGCAGCGAAAGCUGUGCUAAUACCGCAUACGCCCUGAGGGGGAAAGCGGGGGAUCGAAAGACCUCGCGCGAUUAGAGCGGCCGAUGCCUGAUUAGCUUGGUGGUGGGGUAAAAGCCCACCAAGGCGACGAUCAGUAGCUGGUCUGAGAGGACGAUCAGCCACACGGGGACUGAGACACGGCCCAGACUCCUACGGGAGGCAGCAGUGGGGAAUUUUGGACAAUGGGGGCAACCCUGAUCCAGCAAUGCCGCGUGAGUGAAGAAGGCCUUCGGGUUGUAAAGCUCUUUUGUCAGGGAAGAAACACCGGCUCUAACACAGUCCGGGAAUGACGGUACCUGAAGAAUAAGCACCGGCUAACUACGUGCCAGCCGCCGCCGUAA
RNAcentral lists this ribosomal RNA (501 nucleotides) under uncultured bacterium. RNAcentral describes it as "partial 16S ribosomal RNA". It matches the Rfam family "Bacterial small subunit ribosomal RNA", at positions 29 to 523 of the family's 1533-position model. The record is from RNAcentral.